GGCUCGACAGACGGGAUCUCCCAGCCUUCUCCUUAUGAGAUCUGAACAGUUUAUGAUCUGCUGGCCAUCACUGCUACCUGGAAAGACCACUCUGACAGAGGCACCUGUCCUAGACUAAGGACCUUCUGGGGACAUUUCCAACCUAGACCCCAUGGAGGCCAAUCGGAAGGAGAAUAUUCCACCCUGGCCAGGAGGCCCCCUGAAAUCAGACCGACAGCUGGUUCCGAAGAACGUGAACAUCGGCCUCUCUGUGGGCAGCGGGCGAGCUACCAUGGCGGGGUCUCGCUCUCCCAUCAAAACUCAGAGGCAGAGUCCAGCCGCUCCUCCAGGCCAAGGCCUGCAGCUGGAAGGGCCUGUAGCCAGCAGCCAGGAGGCGAGGUACCUCUCCUCUGGGGUUCAGACCAACCUGGCUCCUGUGGGCCAGUCCCUGCCCAGGGCCGCCGGCCUGGUGAGUAACUCUUGCUUUGAGCAGCAGAGCAACCUGUGGCUCCAAGCCCGGAGGCCCAGGGCAUCUGGGAAGUGGACAGGGCUUUCCUCCCAGCAAAGCAACGUGGAGCUGAGCAGAGCAGACCCAGAGAGGAGAGGGGGAGCCAGGAGCCCCCACCUAAAGGAGCCGGCCUGGAGCCUGGGGGGCUGCUCGUGGGAGCUCUUGUGGUCCGGACAUUCUGGAGGCGUCCCCUGGCCCUCCGGGUCAGACAGCCAGACCCACAGGCUCCCGUUGCUGAGGGACCGACCAUCAUCUUCCUUCCCCGGCCCUGGGAGCACCGUACACAUCUCACCAAAAGCCACAAAAGCCUGGGGGUCCAAGCGGAGCCCUUCCCCUCCAUCUGGCCAUCAGGGUUGUCUUGUCCAGCCCAGCACAAGUUACCUGGGUUACUGGGCCCCAAACUCC
RNAcentral lists this long non-coding RNA (892 nucleotides) under Sarcophilus harrisii (Tasmanian devil). RNAcentral describes it as "lncRNA (ENSSHAG00000025395.1)". Lineage: Eukaryota; Metazoa; Chordata; Mammalia; Dasyuromorphia; Dasyuridae. The record is from RNAcentral.